This 460-nucleotide ribosomal RNA is filed under the name uncultured bacterium. RNAcentral describes it as "partial 16S ribosomal RNA". It matches the Rfam family "Bacterial small subunit ribosomal RNA", at positions 338 to 795 of the family's 1533-position model. The record is from RNAcentral.
CCUACGGGAGGCAGCAGUGAGGAAUAUUGGUCAAUGGACGAGAGUCUGAACCAGCCAAGUAGCGUGAAGGAUGACUGCCCUAUGGGUUGUAAACUUCUUUUAUAUGGGAAUAAAACGUUCCACGUGUGGGAUUUUGUAUGUACCAUAUGAAUAAGGAUCGGCUAACUCCGUGCCAGCAGCCGCGGUAAUACGGAGGAUCCGAGCGUUAUCCGGAUUUAUUGGGUUUAAAGGGAGCGUAGGUGGAUUGUUAAGUCAGUUGUGAAAGUUUGCGGCUCAACCGUAAAAUUGCAGUUGAAACUGGCAGUCUUGAGUACAGUAGAGGUGGGCGGAAUUCGUGGUGUAGCGGUGAAAUGCUUAGAUAUCACGAAGAACUCCGAUUGCGAAGGCAGUUCACUGGACUGCAACUUACACUGAGGCUCGAAAGUGUGGGUAUCAAACAGGAUUAGAUACCCCUGUAGUC